This 8025-nucleotide long non-coding RNA is filed under the name Salmo salar (Atlantic salmon). RNAcentral's name for it is "lncRNA (ENSSSAG00000098371.1)". The record is from RNAcentral. Lineage: Eukaryota; Metazoa; Chordata; Actinopteri; Salmoniformes; Salmonidae.
UGAGGUCACCCUCUCAGCAGUCUGGAGACCCUCCAGUUGGCAGGGCAAUGGGUACACGAGCAGCACAUCUGUUAUUUUGUAGCGUGGUGCUGGACUGGGCAAGGUAGGACAAACAGGGUGAGAUACAUAGGAAUUUCGUUCCACACACAAUGACAUAAGUUAUUGACUAAGUGACAUCCAGGGGUGAAUGGAGGACGAGGGUUGGGGGAUUGGAGCCUCGCACAAGGACACCAAGAUAAUGAAAUUAUGUAUUUUACUGCACACGGAUACAGUCUCUGUCUCUCUCUUUCUCUCACUCUCACUGUCUGCCAACAAUUUAUUUUAAGGGUUCGUAAUAAACUAUUGAUAAUGCAUUAUACAUUGUGUGUAUACCAUUUGUUAAUCAUUACUCUCAUAUUUAUCAACCAUUUACUAAUCAUUUAAUAAUCAAGUCUUUUUGUAGUCCCUAAUCUAAAGUGAGUGCUAUUUAAUACUUAAAAAUACUUUCUAAAUGUUUUCAGGGAUGGUGUUAUUUCCCACAAAAGAUGGGCAUGCCAUUGGUAGACAUUCCUGCAGUACCUGGUAAAAGAAUAAGCACACAACACAGGAUAUUUUAGGAAAUCCAGGUUGCAUUUGUAUUUUUGUUCAGUAUAUAUGUGACGUGCCAGGGAACGUUACCACCACACCACGGCUCUGCACACCACCAUUGUUAUGAACAGAGUGGCUGCGGAUCCAACUUUUUUGGACCAUUCUUCCUGACAGGUCCCAAAGCUUCUGUGCAUGUGCCGUAUUCUCAACUUUAUGCACAGUCUCUGCUCUGCGCUACAGGUGGCUAUAUCAGUCCGCUAAUACAGGACUAGUAAAGACCCAGUGCACUACUUUUGUGAAGAUCCCCCCCCUCAGCACCCCUACUUCCCUCUGCUAUGUUUAAGUGCAUUUCCCAUGAAACUGAUUUGAGAUCAAUGGUUGGUAUGCAGAUGCUGCAUGGACGUUUACCUGUAAAACAUGAAGAAUUAUCAUUCAAGAUUGACAGUGAGAAACGUAAAGGGAGGGUGACCACAAAAACGUGGUUCAGAUCUUCAGCUCCGGGGUAAAGAAAUCCAGGGGGGCAGGAAGGGGCGGUUACCUACAGAUCCGCAGCCUCGGCCUAUAGCCUAAAUUACAGGACAUGAGAGGAGUAGAAUUAGCUAUGUUCUCAUUACAGGACUGGUUCAAAAAAAUGGCAGGCUUUUUUCUACGCCAAAUCAGUCUUGUGAUGUUGAAUUGAUUUUGGAAAUACUGAAUUAUCACCUGGUCCUCGUGUGAAUAGAAAGGGGUACACUCUGUGUGGCAGGCAAGCCCAGAAGCCAUGCAGUGUUUUGGUUGUGUAAUGUGCAUCGUGGAUCAUGUGGAUGGUGUGUGGAGGUAUACAUCCUCGAGGCGGCAUGACUACCAAGGUGAACAGAACCGUUCCACAGUGACAUUUGCUUGCACACCGUGUGUGUGAGCUCACCAGUCACGGUCCAGGCUCUCUUAUUAUCACUGUGAUCGAUGUGUGUGCAAUGGUUAUCUGGGACAUUGCAUCACUUGGGCUCGGUGGGUGCAGAGUCAAUGGAUACUACUGUAGCUUCCACUCCUCCCCAUCGAUCCUUACUCUUGUGAUGGAAUGACUGUGUUGUUGCUCUCCGCACAGGAUAGAGGAGACUGGGGACAACUGUAACACAACUGACCCAUGUUACAUUUGGCCCUGCUCUCCACUACAAAUUCUUAGCAGUAUCCCCUUGAAUAUUCAAUGUCCAUUAUUAAUUAACCUUCAUUUGCAUUCUGUGUUGUUUUUCUCUCUAGUGGUGCAAUGUCAAUGUGUGUAUUGGCACAGCCUAGUCAAGGUGCCUCCCAUCCCUCUGCAGUCAUUAAACCUGAAAGACACUGUAAACAACAAGGCUUUGGAAAGAGCCUUAGGAUGUGUUCCAAUAUCCACACUAGAAUGCAUGCCAGUACAUUGCUUCAUUGUAAGUGGUAUGCUAGUAUUGGAACAGAGCCUUAAUGUAAGCAAAUGGUUUUACUAUCCAGUUUUCUGCCCACUACAUUAUGUUUACAGUAGUAUAUCCCAGCAGAGGUCCUCCUAACUCCACUGCUUUUCUGUGCUCCUCUCCCAGAGGCUCCUCUCCCAGAAGCUCCUCUCUAACCGCCUGGGCCCAUAUUCAGACAUCUUCCAAGAGUGCUGAUCUAAGAUCAGGUCCUCAAUGUCUAUAUACACUGAGUGUACAAAAAUAUUGAGUUGCCCUCAGAACAGACUCAAUUUGUCGGGGCAUGUACCCUGCAAGGUGUCAAAAGCGUUCCACAGGGAUGUUGGCCGAUGUUGACUCCAAUGCUUCCCACAGUUGUCAAGUUGGCUAUUUGGAUGGUGUUCCAUUCUCGAUACACACGGGAAAGUGUUGCGCAUGAAAAACCCAGCAGCGUUGCAGUUCUUGACACACUCAAACUGAUGCGCCUGGCACUUACUACCAUACCCUGUUCAAAGGCACGUAAAUCUUUUGUCUUGCCCAUUCACCCUCUGAAUGGCACAUAUACACAAUCCGUCUUAAUUGUCUUAAAAAUACUUAUUUAACCUGUCUCCUCCCCUUCAUCUACACUGAUUGAAGAGGAUUUAACAAGUGACAUAAUUAAGGGAUCAUAGCUUUUACUUAGAUUCACCUGGUCAGUUUAUGUCAUGGACAGAGCAGGUGUUCCUGAUGUUUGUACACUCAGUGUAAUUCUUAUUCAGUAUGAUUUAAAAGGCCAAACUGAUCCUGUAUCAGCAGCUCUGGAUCACCAUGCCAAUUCUAAUAAAUACUGGUCGGAGAGCAGCAGCCCCACAUUCCACACCCCCACCCCACACACACACACACACACACACACACACACACACACACACACACACACACACACACACAGACACCGCAGCCCUACAUUCCAGAACAACAAGAACUUCCCUUAAUCUGCCUCGGAGUCAGAGAUGGAGCAACAGUUGGUGGGCGGGAUGCGUGAGAGGGCUGUUGGGAGACUACCAGAGGAGAGGAGAGCUCCCCGCUGGCAGCAGUGUGAUGUGUAUGUAAAACGCUGGGAAUGUUGAAAUUGGAUUGAUUCUCUACUCGUAGCUCUCCAGGCAGCUCUAUAAUGAACCACUGACUGAGAAGCAGAUUUUGGCAGUUGUGAUGGUUUUUCCCAAAGAUGCAGGGAAACAGAUCCUAUUACGUUGUUUUUCCCAUAAUGUCGUGUGUGUGUGUGUGUGUGUGUGUGUGUGUAUAUUUGGUUUGUGGAAGGGCGCCUGUUGAACUUGGAAAUGCUUUGCAGAUGUGCAGAAUGUCUAUAGUUGAGCCCUGUUGCCAUUUUUCUGCCAAUUGACUGUUGUUGGCAGAGAGAUGGACAUAAUUCACCUUGUAAGAGGGUUUGAUGGGUUGGUUUCCCACCCUGUACAGAUCUGUGUUAUUUGCAGGGCAGGUUUUGUGAAUGCAUUGCUGUUAUCAUACACAGUAUGCCUCUUAUGUUAUUGACUGAUAGAUUGAUAGAGCCAUGUUAAUAGUAAUGGCUCCAGUGGGGAUUUGCGCUGACGUGGCCCACACACAGGUAGCAGACUGAAGUGGUCUGGACAGGAAUGUUGGAAGUGGCCUAUGGCCGUGCUUUUCUCUCUUGCUGCUGGUCGCUAGCCUCAAUUGAUUGCUUUAAUUUGGCCUGUAAUGUGCCAUGACAAUAUAUUGCUGACUAUGUACCUGUCCAGGUUAUCCACUUCUGAUAGUGAUGUUUUGAGCUGAUAAAGCUGAUAAAAUGAAGUGAAUUGAUGUAACAUUGUUGAAUUUGUGACUUGAGUAGGGCAUGUUUUACAUGUAUUUUUAUACAUUUAUGAAUCUCAACGCACCCUGAGAACACAGAUGGUCUCUCCUAAGAGAUUGUGGGAUGUGAAUAUGUUUUGGCCUCUGUUAUUAUUAAACCCAUGUACUGUAUCUGUUACGGUACAUUAAAAUCCCCUGCUAACUAUGAUGUAAUCACUCUGUUGGUAUGGAUUUACAGUACAGGGGUGCGUAGGGAGGUAGCCCUUUCCUGCAGCCAAAUUACCUAGUGGCCUCAUGGGUGGAAUGUUAUUAAUACACCGAAAAUCUGGUCUUUGUUUUAAAACAGUUUUGUUAUUUCAGUCUUCUGUGAUGUAUAUAAAGUGUAAUAUUGGGAUGCAAACUCAAAAUGUAACACAUUUCAACUUUAUGACAUGGUACAGGUGUCUUCUUUUUUUAAGCGCGUCACCAUGUGUGUGAGGUGUAUACUUUUGUUUCAAACUAGAUUUGUUUAAGACUACCAAGAAACACUGUGUGACCCUGAUUUAGCCCACUGCAGUAAAAUGUUAAUAAUGACGCCUUCUACACCCAUAGAAGACCAAAAGAGGAGACAUUUCAAUUUAAAAAAAUAAUAAGUGACUGAAAAGAGCGUCUUGUCUGCACUCAAGCGGUCGCGCGUAUCGUCAUUCCGCAAACAAAUAAAUCAUGCUUCUUGUGAUUUGUAAUUACCCAAAGAUAUGCCGCAAGAAGGAAAGGUCUUCAAAGUGUCCAGCACACCACAAACUGUGUCAUGCAGUGAGUAUUGAGAGGAACCAACAUUUUGGACAGUGACAUACACUAUAUGUCCAAAAGUAUGUGGACACCCCUACUAAUUACUGAAUUCAGGUGUUUCAGCCACACCCAUUGCUAACAGGUGCAUAAAAUCCAGCUAAGCCUUUAGUUCCAGUGACGGGUCAUCUUAAUGCUACAGGAUACAAAGACAUUUUAGACAAUUGGGUGCUUCCAACUUUGUGGAAACAGUUUGGGAAAGGCACUUUCCUGUUCCAGCAUGACUGUGCCCCACAGACACACUCCAAAAUCUUGUGGAAAGCCUUCCCAGAUGAGUGGCGGCUGUUAUAGCCGCAAAGGGGGGCCAAGUCCAUAUGAAUGCCCAUGGUUUUGGCCUGUGGUUUUGGAAUGGGAUGUCCAACAAGCUCAUAUAGGUGGGAUGGCCAGGUGUCCACAUACGUUUGGCCAUAUAGUGUAUUUAGAAUAUCAUCAAAUUUCAUUUCAAAUCUGAGGUGGACAAGUACAGAUCUAAAAUGUCUGUCACUGUCCAUUUAUCUUUGGUGUUGACUGUAAUAGCAUAUUGAAUUCACAUACCUGAGUUUUAUCUAAUCUUCUACAACUUCCUACAGGCCUACCAGCCAAAACAACAACUGGUGGAGUAGCGCUACCUGCAGCAUCCAGUCUCCAACAAAAGGAAUCUGCAUCCACAAGUCCUGCGCAGUCUCAAGAGAUAAUUACAAUGAUGUCUGCAUUUCAAACAAAGGUACUGCUGAAGCUACACAUUAUAAUUUAGAACCAGUGAGAGCAACUGAGGCUCCUUAAUCCUACAAGGCCAUCGACCACAGCUGAGGACCUCGACAUUCUGCCAUCACCGUUAGACUCUGUGGCUGACCUGAAGCUACUGUGUUAGUGGAUCUCAACAGAGGAGAAUUUUUGCAAACAGUUGUAUGUAUGGGUCUAACACAUUGGAGAAGACUAUGAGGAGGAUGAUAGGGCGCAUUGGGACCAACAGACUGUGGUCCCAGUUCAGUAUGAAAGGGAGAAAAAAGUUGGCAUUCGAAGACCUGCCUCUGUUAAGUCAUGGCAAAGGCCUGCAGCAGAUGCCACAGAGGCCAAAAUAACUGAGUAUGAGACCAAAAUCGGUGAAUGCAUGAAGCAUGCGCCAUUUAAGAACGGGGGCAACAAAUACAGAUCAAAGACCACAGCACCUGAAAUGAUGGAGAGAGACGGAAGCCCAAGAGAGAGAAGGAGCACAAGCACGGUGUCGACCCUAAUGCUUUUUGACUAAAGAGGACAUUUUGUAUCUCCAGUGAUUUUAUUAAACGGGUCCAGUGGUAAAAAAAAGGGAAAUACUAGGGAAAUAGUAAUGUAAUUAUUUGCUAAUCCAAUUAUAGUUCAUCAAUAGUUAGUAAUUAACAGUUUUAUAUUGUAUGUUGUAUUUCCUUGUUGGUUAAAUAAUUAAAAUGUUAUUUAUAAUAGUCCCCUUUUUAGUCAUGUAAAUAGUUACCAAUCCAAGUAUAGUUAAUCAAGAGUUAGUAAUUAACAGUUUUAUAUUGUAUUUCCUUGUUGGUAAUUUAAAAAAAGAUAUAUAUAGUCUUUAUUAGUUAAAGCCAUCAUCGCAUAUAACACCUAUUACCGUUAACCAACGUUUGUUAAACAUUGGCAAACGUUGAUGGACGUUUCAAACCCAACCAAACCAACGUUGUAAAAUACAACUAUUAUAAACAUCUGCCAAUUAUUUGUUAAAUGUUGGUGGAUGUUCAUUAACAUUUAAAAGGAACUAAUAGCCAACGUUGUAAAUUACACUAAUACCAACGUUAACCAAAACGUUGAUGACACCUACGAAAUAUGUUUACAAAACGUAAUCUGUCCCCUACACUUUAACCAAAACCUAACAUUUAUCUGAAUGCAUUCAGAAUGUUUAGACAACCAAUCCAAUACCUACAUUUUUAUUUUUUAUUUAUAAAACCCAUUUUUGCUACCUGGGUGAUGAAUGACAGUGCCAACAUACUUGUUUUAUUACAUAGGAAAGUAUAAUGUGUUGUGUUUGAUUACUGUCUUGCCGAAUUAAAAGCAUGUCUUGUGAAGGCUUGUAGGCUGCAUUUUGACAGGCUGUUUCGAAGACAGUCACAACCCAAGUCUCAUGUGAGUACCGAAAAGACUCCCAGCUGAGUUGCAUAUGAGUACCCAAGAGAGUCCCAUGGUACUCAUGUCCAAUAGCUGUACCAAAACAGAUUGGGCACCAGGUACCAUGACAACUGCAUCCUUCAGAGACAAUAAGUAGUUUGUAUUCAAUGAGCUACAUGUUUAUGUAUGUUGUGUAUGAUCACAACAACGGAAUCAUUAUUUUCAAAACAGAAACUCUUAUCUAAAGUAACCUCAACCACUGUUUUAAUUAUCUAACAGCUUUUCAUUCAUGUUCAUUUGAAGUUUGGUACACGCUUCCUAAUGAUGGUGUUUCUUUGAUCACACUGGAGCGUGUGUGUUUGUCUACCACCAGCAGAAUAAAUACCAGUUGUUUUUCUCUUUCAUUAUGCAGAUAAUCUCACAUUGAUUAACAAAGCUCAUUACAAUUUCCAAUGCAGCACAAGCUGCUGAUCUGAGUUCUAUAGCGCUAUAGGAUCUAACAACCUGCCAUGUUGAGGAGUAAACUGCUUGUCUGUUUUCUCUUACUCUCUUUUCAGAUAUCUGAGUCAUUCUACAUUAUCCUUGACUGAUAUACCUUUCUGCUGUUUUUCAAGGAGGAAACACAUACCUGCAGGUUCAUGAGCAUGCAUGUAUGGCCCAGUACAUCACUGGGGCCAAGCUUCCUGCCAUCCAGGACCUCUAUACUAGGCGGUGUCAGAGGAAGGGCCAAAAAUGGUCAAAGGCUCCAGUCACCCAAGUCAUAGAUUGUUCUCUCUUCUUCUGCACGGCAAGCGGUACCGGAGCGCCAAGUCUAGGUCCAAAACGGUCAUGCCCUGAUCUGUUUCACCUGUCCUUGUGCCUGUCUCCACCCCCUGCAGGUGUCUCCCAUCUUCCCCACUUAUCCUCUGGGUAUUUAUACCUGUGUUUUCUGCCAAUUUGUCUUGUUUGUUCAAACCUACCAGCGUUUUGUGUCUCAGCACCUGCCUUUUCGAGUUUCUCUUUUCUCGCCCUCCUGGUUUUGACCCUUGCCUGUCCUGACUCCGAGCCCGCCUGCCUGACCACUCUGCCUGUCCGUGACCCUGCCGUCCUGUACCUUUGCUCCACCCCUGGAUUACUGUACUCUCCCUGUCCGUGACCCUGAGCCUGCCUGCCGUCCUGUACCUUUGCUCCACCCCUGGAUUACUGUACUCUCCCUGUCCAUGACCCUGAGCCUGCCUGCCGUCCUGUACCUUUGCUCCACACCUGGCUUAUCGACCCCUGCCUGCCUUGACCUGUCUUUUGCCUGCCCCUGUUGUUACAAUAAACAUUGUUACUUCAAACAGUCUGCACUUUGGUUUUACCUUGAUCCCUGAUAAAAACUCUGCUU